GGGAGCGGUUAUUUCCGCCGGAGGUGGAAAAAAAAGAACCAAUUGCCUUGAGUCACUCGACAAAUCUCGCGUGGCCGCAGUGCGACUGCAGAAUCUCUUUUCUAGAAUCUUAUCGCACGGAAGAUUUGGAGGAGCCAUAAAGAAAGUGUUCAACAUUACUUGGUCGGUAACGUUGCGCGGUUUUAUUGCGACUUGAUAAGAUCUCUUCAGAUUUCAUAAAAAUAAACUCCUUUAAAUGGGCAUUUAAUGGAUUCCCUUAUCGUGAGAUUGCUAAAGAGAUCAAGAUUCCUGCACAUGUGCUUGGCGAAUGAAAAUUGCUGAAGCGCCCAGAACUCGUAACUUACCCAGCACGAGAUCCGAUUCGAAAUGAUAGUUUUACUGGGAAUCAAAUUUAAAUUGUGUUGACUCAAAUACU
Molecule: long non-coding RNA, 415 nt
Filed under: Drosophila melanogaster (fruit fly)
Lineage: Eukaryota; Metazoa; Arthropoda; Insecta; Diptera; Drosophilidae
Description: long non-coding RNA:CR44468 (Dmel_CR44468)
Source: RNAcentral